AAGCUCGUAGUUGAAUUUCGGGGUCAGUAGGUUGGUCGUGCCACCGGUACGUACUGAUCUCACUGAUUCCUCCUUCCUGAUGAGCUGUAAUGCCAUUAAUUUGGUGUUGCAGGGAAUCUGGACUGUUACUUUGAAAAAAUUAGAGUGUUUAAAGCAGGCUAACGCUUGAAUACAUUAGCAUGGAAUAAUGAAAUAGGACGUUCGAUCCUAUUUUGUUGGUUUCUAGGAUUGACGUAAUGAUUAAUAGGGAUAGUUGGG
This 258-nucleotide ribosomal RNA is filed under the name uncultured Glomus. Its description in RNAcentral is "partial 18S ribosomal RNA". It matches the Rfam family "Eukaryotic small subunit ribosomal RNA", at positions 624 to 886 of the family's 1831-position model. Lineage: Eukaryota; Fungi; Glomeromycota; Glomeromycetes; Glomerales; Glomeraceae. The record is from RNAcentral.